This 399-nucleotide ribosomal RNA is filed under the name uncultured Lactobacillus sp. RNAcentral's name for it is "bacterial SSU rRNA". It matches the Rfam family "Bacterial small subunit ribosomal RNA", at positions 64 to 446 of the family's 1533-position model. Lineage: Bacteria; Bacillati; Bacillota; Bacilli; Lactobacillales; Lactobacillaceae. The record is from RNAcentral.
AAACUAACAGAUUUACUUCGGUAAUGACGCUAGGAAAGCGAGCGGCGGAUGGGUGAGUAACACGUGGGGAACCUGCCCCAUAGUCUGGGAUACCACUUGGAAACAGGUGCUAAUACCGGAUAAGAAAGCAGAUCGCAUGAUCAGCUUUUAAAAGGCGGCGUAAGCUGUCGCUAUGGGAUGGCCCCGCGGUGCAUUAGCUAGUUGGUAAGGUAAAGGCUUACCAAGGCGAUGAUGCAUAGCCGAGUUGAGAGACUGAUCGGCCACAUUGGGACUGAGACACGGCCCAAACUCCUACGGGAGGCAGCAGUAGGGAAUCUUCCACAAUGGACGCAAGUCUGAUGGAGCAACGCCGCGUGAGUGAAGAAGGUUUUCGGAUCGUAAAGCUCUGUUGUUGGUGAA